Molecule: long non-coding RNA, 1979 nt
Organism: Mus musculus (house mouse)
Lineage: Eukaryota; Metazoa; Chordata; Mammalia; Rodentia; Muridae
Product: predicted gene, 40820
Exons: 3
Source: RefSeq, a predicted model, not a curated record
CUCUGGGACAGCAAAUAACUGUAGUGGCACCCCACACUCUUGAAAGCAUUAUCCGACAGCCCCCUGACUGAUGGAUGACCAACGCUUGUAUGACACAUUAUCUUAGACUUUUGAACUGAACGAGUGACCUUCUCUCCCCCUGUUGUCCUCAAUCCCACUACCCUACUGCCCGAGACUGAUGACUCUUCACCUACUCAUAACUGCGCUGACAUUCUGGCAGAAGAAACUGGUAAGCAAAAUGAUCUGAAGGAUCAUCCUUGGCCUGGGAGUCUGAGCUGGUACACGGAUGGCAGUAGCUUCAUGAUUGAAGGUAAGUGGAAGGCAGGGGCAGCAGUGCAGUGGUGGACAGAAAGUAAGUGAUCUAGGCCAGCAGCCUCCCUGAAGGGACGUCGGCCCAGAAAGCCGAACUUGUGGCUUUGAUACAAGCUCUACGAAUGGUAAAGGGGAAGUCUAUCAACAUUUACACUGACAGCAUGUAUGCUUUUGCCACUUCACAGAGAAAUAUACAGACUAAGAGGGCUGUUGACAUCUGCAGAGAAAGACCUAAGGUGCUGUGGCUAAAGGGAAUCAGAUGGCAGCCCUAACGGCCAAACAGGCAGCCCAAGGAACAAUGAUCCUGGCAGUCAAGGAACCUAAAGAUUGUUAUGAUGUCAGAGAGACUAGCUUUAGAUACACCCCUGAAGACUACAAAGUUAUGGACAAAUUAGGACUGGUAAAGGAAACCCCAUAUGGGGUAGUAGAAACAGAAGAAAGAAAACUAGUUCUCCCACGGGAAGAAGGACACAAGUAUGUUACCAACUUACAUUACUUGACCCACUUGGGGGCCAAGAAAUUAAAAGGUGUGGUUAGGUCAUCUGACUACUAUGUUAUAAGAUUCUCUGACUUGGCAGAAGAAAUAGUCAAAAGCUGCAAGGCUUGUGCUAUGACUAAUGCAGGACACUCCAUGUAUACUCCUGGGAAGAGGCUCAGGGGCAACUGUCUUGGACCCUACUGGGAGGUAGAUUUUACAGAAUCUAAGCCAGCUAGAAAUGGCAACAAGUACUUAUUAGUUUUUAUAUAUACCUUUUCAGGCUAGGUAGAAGCUUUUCCUACCAGGUCUGAGAUGGCCAAUGUGAUGGCCAAGAAGAUCCUAGAAGAAAUCUUCCUGAGGUUUGGGAUACACAAGGUAAUCGGGUCUGAUAAUGGACCUGCCUUUGUUGCCCAGGUAAGUCAGGGACUGGCCAAAAUAUUGGGGAUUGAUUAGAAGUUACAUUGUGCAGACAGGCCCCAAAGUUCAGGAUAGGUAGAGAGGAUGAAUAGAACCAAUAAAGAGAACUUUACCAAAUUGGCAGCAUAGACUGGUGCUAAUGAUUAGAUAGCUCUCCUACCCUUUGUGCUCUUCAGGGUUAGAAACACCCCUGGACAAUUUAGACUGACCCCCUAUGAAUUACUCUGGGGGGGCCCUCCACUGGUAAAAAUAGCCUCUGUACAUAGUGCUGACAUGCUGCUUUCCCAGCCUUUGUUCUCUAGGCUCAAGGCACUCAAGUGGGUGACACAGCGAGCAUAGAAGCAGCUCCAGAAGGCCUACUCAAGAGAAGGAGACCUGCAAGCACCACAUUGCUUCCAAGUUAGAGAUUUGGUCUACAUUAGACACCACCAUGCAGAAAACCUUGAGACUGGAUGACUGAAAAACUGAGGACAUGACCCCUUCCAAGUUAUGGUUGGGGAGAAGGGGUAUUAUAAAUAUGAAGGAGUGCACAGUCAGUGGCACCUGGAAGAAUCCAGACUGAACUAGACCAUGAGGAAAUGCAGGAAUAAAGAGCGGCAGAGAUUGAAAGAAAAGCCAUCCAGAGACUGCCCUACCUAGGGAUCCAUGCCAUCUGCUGACACCAAACCCAGACGUUAUUGCUGAUUUCAAGAAGCGCUUACUGACAGAAGCCUGGUACAGCUGUCCCCUGAGAGGCUCUGCCAGAGCCAGACCAAUACAGAUUCGGAUGCAC